RNAcentral lists this ribosomal RNA (424 nucleotides) under uncultured prokaryote. RNAcentral's name for it is "bacterial SSU rRNA". It matches the Rfam family "Bacterial small subunit ribosomal RNA", at positions 355 to 796 of the family's 1533-position model. The record is from RNAcentral.
UGGGGAAUAUUGGACAAUGGGCGCAAGCCUGAUCCAGCCAUGCCGCGUGGGUGAAGAAGGCCUUAGGGUUGUAAACCCCUUUCACCGGUGACGAUGAUGACGGUAGCCGGAGAAGAAGCCCCGGCUAACUCCGUGCCAGCAGCCGCGGUAAUACGGAGGGGGCAAGCGUUGUUCGGAAUUACUGGGCGUAAAGGGCGCGUAGGCGGUCUGUCGCGUCAGGUGUGAAAGCCCCGGGCUUAACCUGGGAAUUGCAUUCGAUACUGCUGAGCUAGAGUAUGGUAGAGGGAAGUGGAAUUUCCGGUGUAGCGGUGAAAUGCGUAGAUAUCGGAAGGAACACCAGUGGCGAAGGCGACUUCCUGGGCCAAUACUGACGCUGAGGUGCGAAAGCGUGGGGAGCAAACAGGAUUAGAUACCCCCGUAGUCC